GACGAACGCUGGCGGCGUGCUUAACACAUGCAAGUCGAACGGAAAGGCCCUGCUUUUGUGGGGUGCUCGAGUGGCGAACGGGUGAGUAACACGUGAGUAACCUGCCCUUGACUUUGGGAUAACUUCAGGAAACUGGGGCUAAUACCGGAUAGGAGCUCCUGCUGCAUGGUGGGGGUUGGAAAGUUUCGGCGGUUGGGGAUGGACUCGCGGCUUAUCAGCUUGUUGGUGGGGUAGUGGCUUACCAAGGCUUUGACGGGUAGCCGGCCUGUGAGGGUGACCGGCCACAUUGGUACUGAGAUACGGCCCAGACUCCUACGGGAGGCAGCAGUGGGGAAUAUUGCACAAUGGGCGGAAGCCUGAUGAAGCAACGCCGCGUGCGGGAUGACGGCCUUCGGGUUGUAAACCGCUUUCGCCUGUGACGAAGCGUGAGUGACGGUAAUGGGUAAAGAAGCACCGGCUAACUACGUG
This 468-nucleotide ribosomal RNA is filed under the name uncultured bacterium. RNAcentral's name for it is "partial 16S ribosomal RNA". It matches the Rfam family "Bacterial small subunit ribosomal RNA", at positions 28 to 507 of the family's 1533-position model. The record is from RNAcentral.